This is a long non-coding RNA of Gavialis gangeticus (Gharial), 174 nucleotides long. RefSeq lists it as uncharacterized. The record is from RefSeq and is a predicted model, not a curated record. NCBI's taxonomy places the organism in Eukaryota, Metazoa, Chordata, Crocodylia, Gavialidae. The transcript is spliced from 3 exons.
CGGCGGCGGCGGCCCCGGAGCUGGGCGGUAGGGCUGUCAGCGACAUGGCAGAGGCGCUGAAUCAUUUAAAAAAAGAUUACAGAGCAAGAUUCUGCAAUGGAGAAAGUAAGCAACAGAUCGACAUUCUGCCAGGCCAAAAUGUACUAAAAAUUAUACAAGAUCGUUUUGAAAGUA